This 371-nucleotide ribosomal RNA is filed under the name uncultured bacterium. Its description in RNAcentral is "bacterial SSU rRNA". It matches the Rfam family "Bacterial small subunit ribosomal RNA", at positions 527 to 898 of the family's 1533-position model. The record is from RNAcentral.
GUAGGGUGCAAGCGUUAAUCGGAAUUACUGGGCGUAAAGCGUGCGCAGGCGGUUCGGAAAGAAAGAUGUGAAAUCCCAGAGCUUAACUUUGGAACUGCAUUUUUAACUACCGAGCUAGAGUGUGUCAGAGGGAGGUGGAAUUCCGCGUGUAGCAGUGAAAUGCGUAGAUAUGCGGAGGAACACCGAUGGCGAAGGCAGCCUCCUGGGAUAACACUGACGCUCAUGCACGAAAGCGUGGGGAGCAAACAGGAUUAGAUACCCUGGUAGUCCACGCCCUAAACGAUGUCAACUAGCUGUUGGGGCCUUCGGGCCUUGGUAGCGCAGCUAACGCGUGAAGUUGACCGCCUGGGGAGUACGGUCGCAAGAUUAAA